GCUUUGUCUCUUGUCUUAUUUUCUGAACCCCUUUGCAAUUUGUCCCCAGGACCAUCCCCAGGACCAUGCAAGUUGAGGCAAAUUGGUGCCUGUACAGGAACCGAUCUGAAGAGCUGGGCCUACAUUCAGGAGGCCACACAAGGAGCAUCUGCUGUCACUUCGGACCUGUCAGGUGCCCCGAUCCAGACAGAUCCAGGAGCCAGGAACCCGGGCGCACAGCCUCUUCUCAAGCACUCGGCUUUGGUCCUUCGCUUCUUCCUUUAUGCCCGAAUGCAGGGACCCAGCUGGUCCCAUCUUUCCCCUCCCGAGCUCACUGCCUUUCUAGUCACCAUGAAGGUGGAGCAGGAGCCUGAUGACUCUCGGCUGCAACUACAGCCGAGAGUAAUUUUUCUUUUCAUAAGGUAGCGUUGUGAGUGAAUCAAACAGGGCUCUGGAGUCUGAAAGGUUGAAGUUUGAAAUCAAGAUCUACCACUAACUGUGACAACUUGGGCGGGGACUGAAUCUUUCUGAAUGUUUGGUUUCCUCUUCUGUGGAAUCAAAUAAUACUGUGUGUCUCCGUGCGCUGAAUAAAAAUGUAAAGGAGAUUUCAGUGUUGAGUCCCCAACAUCUGGGUGAGAGGGAAUAAUGUCAAUAUCUGCCCUCAUUGUAAAGGACCACCUACUCCCAGCCCAAAGUCUUCAUCUUGGCUCUGAAUUGCUCAUUAUUUAAUUUUUUCUGGGCAAAGCAUUACACAGUGACUCUUAUUAACCAAAAAGAAUGGGUGGGAGGGACACGGAAGCCGGCCUACUGGACAGCGCGAGCACCACGCCUGGUUGGAGACAUGGAAUAGGAGCUCCUGUGUCUGCAGCCACAGGAGCCUUGCCCGCCACACUGCAGCAGACCCCGUCCCCCCAGUGUGUCCAUACUAGGUGGCAACCAAAGGUCCCAGAAGAA
RNAcentral lists this long non-coding RNA (933 nucleotides) under Chinchilla lanigera (long-tailed chinchilla). Its description in RNAcentral is "lncRNA (ENSCLAG00000028684.1)". The record is from RNAcentral. Lineage: Eukaryota; Metazoa; Chordata; Mammalia; Rodentia; Chinchillidae.